RNAcentral lists this ribosomal RNA (745 nucleotides) under Vibrio cidicii. Its description in RNAcentral is "bacterial SSU rRNA". It matches the Rfam family "Bacterial small subunit ribosomal RNA", at positions 290 to 1027 of the family's 1533-position model. Lineage: Bacteria; Pseudomonadati; Pseudomonadota; Gammaproteobacteria; Vibrionales; Vibrionaceae. The record is from RNAcentral.
GUCUGAGAGGAUGAUCAGCCACACUGGAAAUGAGACACGGUCCAGACUCCUACGGGAGGCAGCAGUGGGGAAUAUUGCACAAUGGGCGCAAGCUUGAUGCAGCCAUGCCGCGUGUGUGAAGAAGGCUUUCGGGUUGUAAAGCACUUUCAGUACGGAGGAAGGUGGUAGUGUUAAUAGCGGUAUCAUAUGACGUUACCUACAGAAGAAGCACCGGCUAACUCCGUGCCAGCAGCCGCGGUAAUACGGAGGGUGCGAGCGUUAAUCGGAAUUACUGGGCGUAAAGCGCAUGCAGGUGGUUUGUUAAGUCAGAUGUGAAAGCCCCGGGCUCAACCUGGGAAUUGCAUAUGAAACUGGCAAACUAGAGUACUGUAGAGGGGGGUAGAAUUUCAGGUGUAGCGGUGAAAUGCGUAGAGAUCUGAAGGAAUACCGGUGGCGAAGGCGGCCCCCUGGACAGAUAUUGACACUCAGAUCCGAAAGCGUGGGGAGCAAACAGGAUUAGAUACCCUGGUAGUCCACGCCGUAAACGAUGUCUACUUGGAGGUUGUGGCCUUGAGCCGUGGCUUUCGGAGCUAACGCGUUAAGUAGACCGCCUGGGGAGUACGGUCGCAAGAUUAAAACUCAAAUGAAUUGACGGGGGCCCGCACAAGCGGUGGAGCAUGUGGUUUAAUUCGAUGCAACGCGAAGAACCUUACCUACUCUUGACAUCCACAGAAUCCAGCGGAGACGCUGGAGUGCCUUCGGGAGC